AUGUCCGCUGUUGGACGUUUAACAUCAACCCGGAAAAACACAAAUCAGCAGCAAAAAAGCAGAACAAAGUUACCACCGUGUUCGUGGAUCCGAUUGUUUGGACGGCGACUCAGGGUGGAACAGAGUCUGGAUGGGCUUGAACCACAAAAAUUGCAAGACUGAAGGGGGAUUCUCCACCCAAUUUUUAAUUAAUCCACACCAGGCUGCUUGACGGGGCAAAAUCCUCUCAGCCACUUCAACUCAUCAGGACCAAGUUCAAUAAAAUGCUGACUUUUCCCAUCC
Xiphophorus maculatus (southern platyfish) is the source of this 282-nucleotide long non-coding RNA. RefSeq lists it as uncharacterized. The transcript is spliced from 2 exons. The record is from RefSeq and is a predicted model, not a curated record. NCBI's taxonomy places the organism in Eukaryota, Metazoa, Chordata, Actinopteri, Cyprinodontiformes, Poeciliidae.